Molecule: ribosomal RNA, 512 nt
Filed under: uncultured marine bacterium
Lineage: Bacteria
Description: bacterial SSU rRNA
Rfam family: Bacterial small subunit ribosomal RNA
Source: RNAcentral
AACUCUGACCAGCCAUACCGCGUGCAGGAAGAAUGCCCUAUGGGUUGUAAACUGCUUUUAUUUGGGAAGAACCCUAUCUACGUGUAGAUAGCUGACGGUACCAAACGAAUAAGGACCGGCUAACUCCGUGCCAGCAGCCGCGGUAAUACGGAGGGUCCAAGCGUUAUCCGGAAUUAUUGGGUUUAAAGGGUCCGCAGGCGGAAUUAUAAGUCAGUGGUGAAAUCUCGAUGCUCAACAUCGAAACUGCCAUUGAUACUGUAGUUCUUGAAUAUAGUCGGAGUAGGCGGAAUGUGUAGUGUAGCGGUGAAAUGCUUAGAUAUUACACAGAACACCGAUAGCGAAGGCAGCUUACUAGGUUAUAAUUGACGCUCAUGGACGAAAGCGUGGGUAGCGAACAGGAUUAGAUACCCUGGUAGUCCACGCCGUAAACGAUGAUUACUCGUUAUUGGCGAUAUACAGUCAGUGACUAAGCGAAAGUGAUAAGUAAUCCACCUGGGGAGUACGAUCGCAAG